This 733-nucleotide ribosomal RNA is filed under the name uncultured bacterium. RNAcentral describes it as "bacterial SSU rRNA". It matches the Rfam family "Bacterial small subunit ribosomal RNA", at positions 67 to 808 of the family's 1533-position model. The record is from RNAcentral.
UGAGAAUGAUUCUUCGGAUGAAGUCUCUUGUGACUUUGUGGCGGACGGGUGAGUAACGCGUGGGUAACCUGCCUCACACAGGGGGAUAACAGUUGGAAACGACCGCUAAUACCGCAUAACCCGCUGGUGCCGCAUGGCACUGACGGAAAAGAUUUUAUCGGUGUGAGAUGGACCCGCGUCUGAUUAGCCAGUUGGCAGGGUAACGGCCUACCAAAGCGACGAUCAGUAGCCGGCCUGAGAGGGUGAACGGCCACAUUGGGACUGAGACACGGCCCAGACUCCUGCGGGAGGCAGCAGUGGGGAAUAUUGCACAAUGGGGGAAACCCUGAUGCAGCGACGCCGCGUGAGUGAAGAAGUAUUUCGGUAUGUAAAGCUCUAUCAGCAGGGAAGAAAAUGACGGUACCUGAUUAAGAAGCCCCGGCUAACUACGUGCCAGCAGCCGCGGUAAUACGUAGGGGGCAAGCGUUAUCCGGAUUUACUGGGUGUAAAGGGAGCGUAGACGGUGAUGCAAGUCAGAAGUGAAAGCCCGGGGCUCAACUCCGGGACUGCUUUUGAAACUGUGUGACUGGAGUGCAGGAGAGGUAAGCGGAAUUCCUGGUGUAGCGGUGAAAUGCGUAGAUAUCAGGAGGAACACCAGUGGCGAAGGCGGCUUACUGGACUGUAACUGACGUUGAGGCUCGAAAGCGUGGGGAGCAAACAGGAUUAGAUACCCUGGUAGUCCACGCCGUAAACG